This 301-nucleotide ribosomal RNA is filed under the name uncultured bacterium. RNAcentral's name for it is "partial 16S ribosomal RNA". It matches the Rfam family "Bacterial small subunit ribosomal RNA", at positions 509 to 807 of the family's 1533-position model. The record is from RNAcentral.
CAGUAGCCACGGGAAUACGAAGGGGGCUAGCGUUGCUCGGAAUGACUGGGCGUAGAGGGCGCGUAGGCGGUUUAUACAGUCAGAUGUGAAAUUCCUGGGCUCAACCUGGGGACUGCAUUUGAUACGUAUGGAUUUGAGUGGAGAAGAGGGUCGUGGAAUUUCCAGUGUAGAGGUGAAAUUCGUAGAUAUUGGAAAGAACACCGGUGGCGAAGGCGGCGACCUGGUCUUUAACUGACGCUGAGGCGCGAAAGCGUGGGGAGCAAACAGGAUUAGAUACCCGCGUAGUCCCUGUCUCUUAUAC